GAUGAACGCUGGCGGCGUGCCUAAUACAUGCAAGUCGAGCGAACAGACGAGGAGCUUGCUCCUCUGACGUUAGCGGCGGACGGGUGAGUAACACGCGGAUAACCUACCUAUAAGACUGGGAUAACUUCGGGAAACCGGAGCUAAUACCGGAUAAUAUAUUGAACCGCAUGGUUCAAUAGUGAAAGACGGUUUUGCUGUCACUUAUAGAUGGAUCCGCGCCGCAUUAGCUAGUUGGUAAGGUAACGGCUUACCAAGGCAACGAUGCGUAGCCGACCUGAGAGGGUGAUCGGCCACACUGGAACUGAGACACGGUCCAGACUCCUACGGGAGGCAGCAGUAGGGAAUCUGCCGCAAUGGGCGAAAGCCUGACGGAGCAACGCCGCGUGAGUGAUGAAGGUCUUCGGAUCGUAAAACUCUGUUAUUAGGGAAGAACAAAUGUGUAAGUAACUAUGCACGUCUUGACGGUACCUAAUCAGAAAGCCACGGCUAACUACGUG
RNAcentral lists this ribosomal RNA (497 nucleotides) under uncultured bacterium. RNAcentral's name for it is "partial 16S ribosomal RNA". It matches the Rfam family "Bacterial small subunit ribosomal RNA", at positions 28 to 507 of the family's 1533-position model. The record is from RNAcentral.